Hylaeus anthracinus is the source of this 2043-nucleotide long non-coding RNA. RefSeq lists it as uncharacterized. NCBI's taxonomy places the organism in Eukaryota, Metazoa, Arthropoda, Insecta, Hymenoptera, Colletidae. The transcript is spliced from 3 exons. The record is from RefSeq and is a predicted model, not a curated record.
ACUGAGAACCGUCUGAAACAUGGCGUGCGCCCGGUGAUUUCUAAUAAAUACCAGCGCUAUCUGGCAUUCCACGUUGGACCUUUCACUCGAUUUUUCGAAACCGACGUUGGAAAAUAUUUUAGACCGAGCUGCAGUUGAAAUUUGGCAUCUUUUAUUUAGUUGGCGAAAUUGUAUCGUUGGCAUUAUUAACGUAGGUCUGGGUAAUUUAAUAUUAUUUUGUUCUAAUGUAGCGAGAGAGUCUUUCUUUUCGUUAGGUUCGAAUUAGGAUCAAAUCAGGUUAGCGUUGCAGCCACCGUUGGCACAGAUCAACGCCGAAGAGAAAAUGACGAUAAUUAACCGAAGAGUUUACGUCGAGAAUAAAAACCGCCAUCGUGAUCAGCGCUCCCUUCGUCCAUUACAAAGUUGGAUACCACUCAACGAUUCGAAUAACCAAGCGAUACUUAAAUGUCCGAUUGCCUAUAUUUUACCUUGUAAUCAGCUAUGGGAUUGCGAUAAAUCGCUUUCGCCAUUGCGUCUCGGUGGACUAUAAUUCAAUUGUAGAAAUUGAGAAUUCUUUCUUAUUUCUGGUUAAUAAACUUCGAUGUAAUUUGCAGGUUUUCUAAAAUAACGUCGGACAAAUCGUCGACAUUUGUAUGGUUCCUUUAUCAUCCAUCUAGAGAUGGACGACGGAGCAGUGCGUAGCGUAGCUGAUUUCCACACUGAGAAGCCCCGGGUUCGAAUCCCGGUCGGUCCGCCACCGUUUUUUUCAAGGAAUGAGCUGUGACAUGAAAGUAUCGGAACAAGUGGUGUAAGAUUAAGUUAAUUGUCCCAUCAUCCAUAGAUCAUCGUAAUUAGACUACAAACAUCGUGCAACCUAAAUAUAUUUUUAACGCCUCCAACAAUUUCACCACAGAGUCUCUAGCAAUCUAAACUGGCCACAAUUAGUGAACUUCGAGGAUCUCCGAUACUAGCGACUUGCCCGAGCAAUUAACGAUGUAUCUGCUCGAGGGAUCAAGAUCAACGGCGUCGACCAACGCGGACCUCGAUCCAGUCGGUUAUUAUAUCCAAUGAAUCACCGACUUUCCUCCGGGAGGAAUCUUGCUUAGUUUACGUACGAAACGAUGCCGUACUACUGACAUAAUUCCGAUUACGAGGAGCGUUUGCACGCGAUUCUCAUCGCGGAAGAUCGCGUGUCGCGAUUUUUCUGCUUUCUUCGCCGUAUUCGUCGCUUCUGGAAACGGAACAGCAACCGUGAAAUCAUUCGAGUGUCCAGCGAGUAUCGUUGUCUUCGCGAGUCGCUGCCAGAUAAAAAAGAAGAAAGAAUACCUCUCGAAAGAUGCGCGGACAGUGGAGCGGCUGUCCGGUCCCGGUUUUUCGUGGUCGGCUAACAAAUAUAAAAUAUCGAAAAGUCUGUGGCGUAAGGUGUGUAAUGAAAAAAAAAAGAAGAAACUUUAAGGAAAGAAGAGGAGGUAUUCGAUAAAAGUGUGGUUCCGGAAAAGUGCAAAACACAAGAGGGGUGAGAAGUGGCCCUCGAAAGUACGCACAAUGCCUCUUGGAGCCAAUUGAAUGGUCGCCUGUAAGAAAAUCGGGACCGAAACAUUGGAAGAGGACCGAAGAGGUUCGAAAGAGAAGAGCAGUCGGCAGAAGCGUAUCAAUCGGUUAGGAUCAUAUUCGUCAUAAUCACUGCUCGCUCGCCGAGUGUCAAGAGGUGGGCUUUCGAGUGCCUCACCUUGUACAAUGAGGAUCAUGAAUAAAUGGACCCGACCGACAAUGUUCCACGACCUCGGAGGAAGAAACAGGAGGGGCAUCUCGAUGCUCGUGGAUUACAGAGGUCUCCAGCGCCGUAAUUACGUUAUUGUCUCUCCGUGAUUAUGCUCGUCGGCGCGCGUGCUGCGUGCCCCGUCAUCGCUCUUGAAUAGCUUCCACAGCGAAGAUCAUCGCCUCUAUCCGAGCGAAUCUCGAAUGAAUUUAGAUUCAACCGCGAUAGUUUCGCGAAAUGAAGCGUGGCGCCACGUGCCGUGUUUAUCGCGGUACAAUGAAUGAGUGUAGCCGCGCGCAAUUAUU